Molecule: ribosomal RNA, 957 nt
Filed under: Raphidocelis subcapitata
Lineage: Eukaryota; Viridiplantae; Chlorophyta; Chlorophyceae; Sphaeropleales; Selenastraceae
Description: 16S ribosomal RNA 1
Rfam family: Bacterial small subunit ribosomal RNA
Source: RNAcentral
GGGUUUGAGCCUGGCCCUGCUCUAACGCGUACAGGCGGUCUAACACAUGCAAGUGUUCUUUUUGUGAACUCCGCAAAAAGAAUGCGUCCGGGUGCGUGAUAAUCGGUUUUCUCACUCUAUUGAAGGGGUAGGCCCUUAUUCAAGCAUUCAUGCUUUCAAAGACAGAGAUCCAAUAGAGUACAAACCGGUUUGGAUUAGGUUGUUGGGCUGGUAACAGCAGCCCAAGCCCUUGAUCCACAGCCUCCCUUAACGGGGGAUGGCCACAGCGGAACUGAAACAAGGUCCGUCCAUUUUUAUGGCAGCAGUGAAGAAUCUUUGACAAUGGGCGCAAGCCUGAUCAAGCUAGCCUGGGAAAGGGACUUUAUUUAAAGCAACAAAGUCAUCAGAGAAGGCCUUCGGUUGUAAACCUUUCUCUCUUUCGUUCAAUAGAGAUUCGUCGAAAGAGACUUCCCCGGCUAACUCUGUGCCAGCAGCCGCGGUAAGACAGAGGGGGGAAGUGUUGAGCAUCUGGACUAGGCCUAAAGCGCGGGUCGGUGGUUAUUCUAGCUGGUCAGUCUCUCUCCGAAGGAUCGGAGGCCCCUGACCAGACUCUUUAACUUGAGUUUAAUCUCAGGGUAGGAGAACAACCCAAGAACCGGUAGAAUGGAAGUAUAUGGGUGUGAAUGCCAACGGCGAAGGCACCUACCUUUUUUUAAACUGACGCCUAGCCGCGGAAGCGUGGUGUACCGAAUGGGAUUAGAUACCCCAGUAGCCCACGCCGUCAACGAUGAGUGUUUUAUUUAAGGUUUAAAUACCUUAAGUAUAAGUUAAAAACGACAACACUUCGCCUGGGGAGUAAGGUCGCAAGGCUGAAACUCAAAGGCAUAAGCUGCCGGGUAGACCGGCGGUGGAACAUUGCGGUGGAAUCGAAACAACGCGUAACACCUUACCACCCCUUGAAUGCAAAACAAUCUUAUU